This 478-nucleotide ribosomal RNA is filed under the name uncultured bacterium. Its description in RNAcentral is "partial 16S ribosomal RNA". It matches the Rfam family "Bacterial small subunit ribosomal RNA", at positions 28 to 523 of the family's 1533-position model. The record is from RNAcentral.
GACGAACGCUGGCGGCGUGCUUAACACAUGCAAGUCGAACGGUAAGACCCUUCGGGGUACACGAGUGGCGAACGGGUGAGUGACACGUGGGUGAUCUGCCCUGCACUUCGGGAUAAGCCUGGGAAACUGGGUCUAAUACCGGAUAGGACCACUGCCUGCAUGGGUGGUGGCGGAAAGCUUUUGCGGUGUGGGAUGGGCCCGCGGCCUAUCAGCUUGUUGGUGGGGUGAUGGCCUACCAAGGCGACGACGGGUAGCCGGCCUGAGAGGGUGACCGGCCACACUGGGACUGAGAUACGGCCCAGACUCCUACGGGAGGCAGCAGUGGGGAAUAUUGCACAAUGGGCGCAAGCCUGAUGCAGCGACGCCGCGUGAGGGAUGACGGCCUUCGGGUUGUAAACCUCUUUCAGCACCGACGAAGCGCAAGUGACGGUAGGUGCAGAAGAAGGACCGGCCAACUACGUGCCAGCCGCCGCCGUAA